This 376-nucleotide ribosomal RNA is filed under the name uncultured bacterium. RNAcentral's name for it is "bacterial SSU rRNA". It matches the Rfam family "Bacterial small subunit ribosomal RNA", at positions 523 to 898 of the family's 1533-position model. The record is from RNAcentral.
AUACGUAGGGGGCAAGCGUUGUCCGGAAUUAUUGGGCGUAAAGCGCGCGCAGGCGGUUCUUUAAGUCUGGUGUUUAAACCCGAGGCUCAACUUCGGGACGCACUGGAAACUGGGGAACUUGAGUGCAGAAGAGGAGAGUGGAAUUCCACGUGUAGCGGUGAAAUGCGUAGAUAUGUGGAGGAACACCAGUGGCGAAGGCGACUCUCUGGGCUGUAACUGACGCUGAGGCGCGAAAGCGUGGGGAGCGAACAGGAUUAGAUACCCUGGUAGUCCACGCCGUAAACGAUGAAUGCUAGGUGUUAGGGGUUUCGAUACCCUUGGUGCCGAAGUUAACACAUUAAGCGUUCCGCCUGGGGAGUACGGUCGCAAGGCUGAA